RNAcentral lists this ribosomal RNA (249 nucleotides) under uncultured bacterium. RNAcentral describes it as "partial 16S ribosomal RNA". It matches the Rfam family "Bacterial small subunit ribosomal RNA", at positions 524 to 771 of the family's 1533-position model. The record is from RNAcentral.
UACGUAGGGGGCGAGCGUUGUCCGGAUUUAUUGGGCGUAAAGAGCUCGUAGGCGGUUCGAUAAGUCGGACGUGAAAUCUCCACGCUCAACGUGGAGGGCCGUUCGAUACUGUCGUGACUCGAGUCCGGUAGGGGAGUGUGGAAUUCCCGGUGUAGCGGUGAAAUGCGCAGAGAUCGGGAGGAACACCCGUAGCGAAGGCGGCACUCUGGGCCGGUACUGGACGCUGAGGAGCGAAAGCGUGGGGAGCAA